Molecule: non-coding RNA, 71 nt
Organism: Phrynosoma platyrhinos (Desert horned lizard)
Lineage: Eukaryota; Metazoa; Chordata; Lepidosauria; Squamata; Phrynosomatidae
Source: the annotation of a GenBank genome assembly
GCCAGCAUGGCUUAGUGGUUUGAGCACAGGACUACGACUCUGGAGUCCAGGGUUCGAUUCCCAGUUUGGCC